RNAcentral lists this long non-coding RNA (883 nucleotides) under Androctonus crassicauda. Lineage: Eukaryota; Metazoa; Arthropoda; Arachnida; Scorpiones; Buthidae. The record is from RNAcentral.
AUCUCACCUUAUAUUGCUUACCUACGAAUCCGUUGGUCCGCAAUCCUGCCACUACAAUAAUCGAAUGUGGGCGAUGAUUACCUCGGCUGUUGCCAGCCUUGGAUCCGGUGUGUGCGGGUCUCCGCCUUUACAACGCGCUCUUUCCCUCUCUCGCCCCGUGGCACAGUUGACGAAGGACCUGAAACGUCCGACAGGCGCCAUUGAAAUUGCGAGUGUCUACGCAUUCCUCCCUCUGACGUUUUCGCCAACUCCUGUUUGGAUAAAUUAUCCUUGCUCCAGCAAACUCGUUACGAUCGGGACGUAAUUGUCUGCCACUCGCUCUAUAAAUAUGUACUUUUAAAUUAGAAUAAUCCGAGACGCUCCCGUCGCAUUCUCUUACUUAAGACUGUUUGGUAUUUAAUUACUAUACAACUAUACACGUUUCUAAUUUUUAUGACGUUUCGUUUAUACCAACCACCGCUUUCAUCGGUCAUACUUGACAAUGAUUUUUAUUCUUCUCUCAUUUUGUUGCUGUGCGUCAUCCUUGUAUAAAAAAAAAUCGAAUAAAUCAACAGCAGAAAAUGUGUUUUUAGCGUAUUUAUUUUCACUAUACUAUAUUUUAUUACAGAAUGAUAUCUGUGCAGAAUCAGAGGACAGUUCUCAUUAUUCACAAAGCACUACUGUUUUUGGAAUCCCUGUGCAAUGUACAUAUGGCAAUCUCCAAUAAUUUCAAUCAAAUCUGUGCCAUUACUGAUGGUUUCAAUCAAUAAGAUUUUCAAGAUGGGACAAUCCUGUUAGAGGUGUACAAUAGAUCACUGGAUGGUAGCAAUAUUAAAUAUAAAGUACCCCUUUACUGCUACUACUGUUACUACUACUACUACUACUACUACUACUACUACUACUA